AACCGCGUAGCUCAGUUGGAAGAGCAUUGGGCUAGUACUCCAAAGGUCGUAGGUUCGAAUCCCGCCGUGGCCA
Molecule: non-coding RNA, 73 nt
Organism: Paramuricea clavata
Lineage: Eukaryota; Metazoa; Cnidaria; Anthozoa; Malacalcyonacea; Plexauridae
Source: the annotation of a GenBank genome assembly